UGAAGCGCACAAUUCCAGAAAGCAGUCGCUGACGAAGGAAUGUAAGUCACUUACCCAAGAGAUGCCAGUCUCCUCUGUCCUUCCUAGGUGACUCUCAGUCCCUGCCUCCCAUCCUCCUGCCCAGGGCACAGUUAAGAUGGAGCAGUAGAGCGGGUGCCCCUGGCAGCCUGUGGCACAACACGACUGCAGAGUUCGGAAUCAUUCACAGGGAAUCCUCCAUCCUGCCCAGUCUCUCCCAGAAGACGGGACCCAGACUUUUAAAGAAAGGAAGGAAUCUUCAGCAGUAAACUGCUUUCACCACAACCUGAAAAGCUACUGGAGUAAUGACAAUGGAUUUCUUGUGAUGUUGAUGUAUAAGAAAGUACAACUUUGCCUGGCGUGAUGGCGCAUGACUCUAAUCCCAACGCUCAGGAGGCAGAUAUGGGAGGAUCACCAUGAAUUCGAGGCCACCCUGAGACUACAUAGUUAAUUCCAAGUCAGCCUGGAGUGAGAUUCUACCUCAAAAAAAGAAAAA
This is a long non-coding RNA of Jaculus jaculus (lesser Egyptian jerboa), 514 nucleotides long. RefSeq lists it as uncharacterized. The record is from RefSeq and is a predicted model, not a curated record. The transcript has 2 exons. Lineage: Eukaryota; Metazoa; Chordata; Mammalia; Rodentia; Dipodidae.